RNAcentral lists this small RNA (520 nucleotides) under uncultured Entrophospora. Its description in RNAcentral is "SSU rRNA". It matches the Rfam family "Eukaryotic small subunit ribosomal RNA", at positions 569 to 1084 of the family's 1831-position model. The record is from RNAcentral. Lineage: Eukaryota; Fungi; Glomeromycota; Glomeromycetes; Entrophosporales; Entrophosporaceae.
AGCAGCCGCGGUAAUUCCAGCUCCAAUAGCGUAUAUUAAAGUUGUUGCAGUUAAAAAGCUCGUAGUUGAAUUUCGGGAUUGGCGCAUCGGUCGUGCCUCACGGGGUAUGAACUGGUGCAGUCAAUUUCUCACCUUCUGGAGAACCGCGAUGUCCUUAAUUGGAUGCCGCGGGGAACCAGGACCUUUACUUUGAAAAAUUAGAGUGUUUAAAGCAGGCAUUUUUGCUUGAAUACAUUAGCAUGGAAUAAUAAAAUAGGACGGCAUGGUUCUAUUUUGUUGGUUUCUAGGACCACCGUAAUGAUUAAUAGGGAUAGUUGGGGGCAUUAGUAUUCAAUUGUCAGAGGUGAAAUUCUUGGAUUUAUUGAAGACUAACUACUGCGAAAGCAUUUGCCAAGGAUGUUUUCAUUAAUCAAGAACGAAAGUUAGGGGAUCGAAGACGAUCAGAUACCGUCGUAGUCUUAACCAUAAACUAUGCCGACUAGGAAUCAGACGAUGUUAAUUUUUUAAUGACUCGUUUGGC